GGCUGAUCAGAGUACAGUGGUGUUUACAAUUGAUCACAACCAGAUACAGAUUUCCUUGUUGCUUCUCCACCCCCACCAUUUCACUUGACUAGCCUUUG
RNAcentral lists this Y RNA (98 nucleotides) under Rhinopithecus bieti (black snub-nosed monkey). RNAcentral describes it as "Y RNA (ENSRBIG00000008445.1)". It matches the Rfam family "Y RNA". From Rfam's summary of the family: Y RNAs are components of the Ro ribonucleoprotein particle (Ro RNP), in association with Ro60 and La proteins. The record is from Rfam by way of RNAcentral. Lineage: Eukaryota; Metazoa; Chordata; Mammalia; Primates; Cercopithecidae.